UUCUCCCCGAAAGCUAUUUAGGUAGCGCCUCGUGAAUUCAUCUCCGGGGGUAGAGCACUGUUUCGGCUAGGGGGCCAUCCCGGCUUACCAACCCGAUGCAAACUGCGAAUACCGGAGAAUGUUAUCACGGGAGACACACGGCGGGUGCUAACGUCCGUCGUGAAGAGGGAAACAACCCAGACCGCCAGCUAAGGUCCCAAAGUCAUGGUUAAGUGGGAAACGAUGUGGGAAGGCCCAGACAGCCAGGAUGUUGGCUUAGAAGCAGCCAUCAUUUAAAGAAAGCGUAAUAGCUCACUGGUCGAGUCGGCCUGCGC
Molecule: ribosomal RNA, 314 nt
Filed under: Salmonella enterica subsp. enterica serovar Thompson
Lineage: Bacteria; Pseudomonadati; Pseudomonadota; Gammaproteobacteria; Enterobacterales; Enterobacteriaceae
Also listed under: 1 other name
Description: partial 23S ribosomal RNA
Rfam family: Bacterial large subunit ribosomal RNA
Source: RNAcentral